Molecule: non-coding RNA, 91 nt
Organism: Drosophila persimilis
Lineage: Eukaryota; Metazoa; Arthropoda; Insecta; Diptera; Drosophilidae
Source: Rfam
CGAAUAGUGAAAUAAAGAGAGCUAUCCGUCGACAGUCAAGUUAAUCAGAUUGUAAUACUGUCAUGGAAUUGCUCUCUUUGUAUAAUAUUCG